Pan troglodytes (chimpanzee) is the source of this 754-nucleotide long non-coding RNA. RefSeq annotates it as long intergenic non-protein coding RNA 2876. The transcript is spliced from 3 exons. NCBI's taxonomy places the organism in Eukaryota, Metazoa, Chordata, Mammalia, Primates, Hominidae. The record is from RefSeq and is a predicted model, not a curated record.
AUGAAUAAAGGCAUGACACUGAGAUUGAAGGCUAGUUCUACUUCAGAACCACAGAGACAUGAGCACCAGCAAGUUUGAGGUUGGAUAAGGAUCUUCAGAACUCCUCAGCUUCAGAUGGUCAAGCACUGCUUCCUCCCUUCUUCAACGGCAUCUCUAGCAUGUAUACUUCCCUUAAAUCCACCUUCGUAGCAUUUGCUGAUGAUAUGAGAUUGGGGCCCUCAUUCAUACUAACUGGAAUUUUCCUUGGCAAUGGUAGAACAGAAGCUUCUCCAUUCUUUAGAGAUGAAUUUGCUUUAAGUAAGAUCUUCCCAGAGUACAAAAGAAAUUUAUUCGGAAAAUUUCAAACUAAUAUGGCCUUCUCACUGGAACUGGAUCCACCAUCCUUUUCUCUCAGUGUCGUCUUGUUUAUGUUUUAGAUCUUUUGCAAGGUGAGCUACACCUCUGAGAGGAGCUCCUGGAAAUUACCAGAGAUACUUAAUGUUGCCAGCUGUUACAGAUGGAGAUGAUGCACCUUGAUGAUGAAUAAGUACUGAGCCUGAAUCCUACAAAUGGGAAAAGGUGCUCAUAUCAGACUUAUGCAUUAGAUAUCAAACUACAAAAUACAAGUGCAGUUGAUACCUGUUUAGAUGAUGUAGAGCAAGGUAACAGAGUAUGUAUUAAAAGCAAAAAUUCCCAUGAAGCUGAACCGUUACUCUCUGCCAAAACCUCCCAUUCUCAAGUUUUAAGAGCCAAUAAACCUUGUAUCUGUACGUUC